CCUCCUUUUCUUGGUGGAUAUCGGGUUGCAGUCCCUGUCCGUGUAAUGUACUUAAUGUAUGGAGGCAGAGGACAAGGGCUCUGGGCCCCUUGGCAUUAUAUCUUUGGUGUUUUGGUACUGAUGGCUUCCAAUCCACCAGUUCUAUCCUCAAGCACUGGGACAUGG
Molecule: non-coding RNA, 165 nt
Organism: Erinaceus europaeus (western European hedgehog)
Lineage: Eukaryota; Metazoa; Chordata; Mammalia; Eulipotyphla; Erinaceidae
Source: Rfam